AGCAGACGAAAGCAUUUAACAGGUCCCUCUAUUUCAUUUGACAUUUACAUAUUAUGGAAUAUAAAAUUAGCCAUAGGAAUUAAUAAAGUUUGCAGCCUAGAAAUGUCCUCCAAAUGGCAGCAAUUUAAGACUUUUGCUUUCCCCUUCAACUAGCCAUCUAACUAUUUAUUACCUACAGAAGAUUACAAGUAGAAAAAGUCAUGAAGAGUUCAUGACUUUUUUCCCCUUGGCAGAAUAUAGAAAGUUUCUUUAACUAACAACUUAAAUAUUACCUAGUCAUGAAAUAGCAACGCGUACAAGCAUGAAUGAACUCAUAGUCUCCUCAGUAUAUCCCCCAACUGGGAAUUUGCUGGAAGCACUUAUUCACAUCUCUAACGAAGUAUUUUCAAUGGAAAAGCUUCCAUUUGUACAGAUGAAAAACAUUUCAAGUAUGGUAAGAAGGAUCAAGAUUCUUACUUCAUUGUUUGAAGAAAUUCAAGAAACAUCAUCCGCUGCACGACUUCCACCAUCUUCC
RNAcentral lists this long non-coding RNA (514 nucleotides) under Solanum tuberosum (potato). Its description in RNAcentral is "long non-coding RNA (STUB_LNC006384)". The record is from RNAcentral. Lineage: Eukaryota; Viridiplantae; Streptophyta; Magnoliopsida; Solanales; Solanaceae.